AGUACAGGAUAGUGAGCCUUUAGAUUAUGGAAAUGAAUAGAAUGGGUUCUAUUGUUACCAAGCAAGCUUCUUGUUCAAGGUUUCUGGGCUGCUGGAUAUGGAAGAAAUCUCAAAGAGUAACAGAAUUAAGAAUUUGUAGGGACCACAGUGGCUGGAAUUCACGAGAAUCUGGUUUGCCUGUGCGUGCCCUGGAGUGGAUGAAACAUCUGUAUUCUCCAGUCCAAGACUCAGGGAACAUCUCAGAAGAGAAGGAGCCGCUCAGAUGAUACCAGCCAACAGCAAGAGGACUGAGUGAGGCUGUGAAAAUCUGAACCACGACCCCUAAUGAAGAACCCACUUCUCACCCAACCCAAAGCUUAGGUCCUGGUAAGAUGGAGGUCACAUGACCUCAGUCAGGCUGAAGGUGAGAUACUGUGAGCCCCCAUGAGCCUGGCUGCAUGCCAAGGCCAUAUUUGGCUAAAGAAAGUAUGCCCUUUAAAAGCCCAGCAUGUGUGUACCUACACGUGCUCAGCUAAUGAAAGGUGCGCUUAUUCUUGCAGCCCUGGUGAGGAACAAACAAUUCCACUCCUGAUAGACAAGACCUUUCACAGUGCCCACGUCUCUGGAAGCUGUUAAUAUAAAUUCUCUAAAGGUCUGUGACACUUGAGGGCUCUUCUUGUUUGGUGUUAGUUUGAAUUGAAUUUACAUGCUCCUGGACCUUUAAACAAAGGAGUUAUCCCUGAGCUGGAGGCAGAAGGGUAGUGCAGUGUAGCAUCUAAGUUCUUGAGGCUCUCGGUUUCAAACCCAGGGUCACAUUAAGAAAACCAAAGAAGUCAGUUUCCAGCUGGCAUGGUACUUUGAAGAGCAUAAUUAAGAUGGAGAAUCUACCUCGGAAGAACAGGAUCGCUUAGCAAAUGUUCAAGCUUCAUUUGAGAGGCUAUGGGGUGAAAAAUAUGAACUUAUUGACGGAAGGAAAGGGGAGGGAACAAGUUAGACCUCAUGAAGAAUGUGAAUUACACUUACCAGAUGGCUUCAUAAGGUGACCUUAUUGGCAGUGAGUCACAGGGCACGCAGGAGGCUAGGCCUGCCAUACCAAAGGCAGAAUGGAGAGGAGUUUGGCAUGGUUCCCCCAAGCUGAAGGCCAUGAUUCAUUGGGAAUACAGCUGGGGCCUCGGGCAGAUGGGAGAUAGCUCAGCAGUGUAGGCACUGUGGGCUCCCGGGACUAGAGUCACAUCUCCAUCAUCUCUGAUGUAGAGCAGGAUCUUGUUAAGCUAUCUUCGCCAAGGGAGCAGAGACUGCUCAAGGUCACAUUUUCCCCUCUUUGCAGAUUUCAAAUGAGGUGACACGCGGGUGGCAUUGGAACAUUCCUGGCAGGGAGGGCAUCCCCCAGUCCCUGUUCCCUUUCUUAGACCUUGCUCUCUUUCAACUCCUUCUGUUCCUGCUUUACACUGCAAGAACCCGGAAGGGCUUUGAACUGACCUGUGUUCAAGUUCACCCUCACUCCUUGCUUGCUGUGUGUCUUGGAGGAAGCCACUGUAAGCCCCAAUGCCUCAGCCACCAGACAGAAGAGCUAAUGACUAUUGUAGGAGGAACGAUAGUAUUUAUGAAAGACUCUGACAUUCAGUGCCCACUCCAGUCGAUCUCGGCACUUUUGAUAUUUUGUCCAAAUGCAGCUGUGGGGCGUGGUCCUGUGUGAUGUGUAGGGUUUAGUAACAUGUCUGGUCUCUACAAACUUGAUGUCAGAAAUGCCUCACCUCCAGCUGGAACAAUGAAAAAUGAGUCCAAGCACAGUCAAAUGUCUCCUAAUGGUUUCUGGCUAAGUAUGACUUCCAACUCAUUGGCUUCUUAGUUUGGGGAAAGCAAUCUGCUGUGUAAGGGACAGUCCAAGUAGCUUUUAGCUGGGUGUGUAAGUUAAGAAGUGAGCUAUUAGAGUGGGCUUAAGGUGUUGGAGCGAUGGCUCAGCAGUCCAGAGCAUGUACUGCUCACAUAGAGAACUCAGCUGUCAUGUCAGGUGGCUCACAUGCGCCUGCGAUUCCAACUGGAGGAGAUUCAAAUACCUUCUGGCUUUGCGAGGCACUGUAAUCACACACACACACACACACACACACACACACACACACACACACACACACAGAGAGAGAGAGAGAGAGAGAGAGAGAGAGAUUGAGAGGACUAUUUCUCUUCAGGGAGCCCACAUAACUUUGUCACAUCUGAGAGCAAGCAGGCAGACUCCCCCAGGUUGUAGCCUCUGUCCAGCUCCCUCUCCUCUGACAGACAGUGGGCAGAAGAACUCCAUCAAAUAAGCCUGCAUCCAAGCAGAAAACAAAACAUGGCGACCCCUCUUGUCCGCACCAUGGUCACACUCUGUCUCUUUUAAUGAUGUUUCUUUCACAGGCACAGAAGGGGAGCUGAGCCCUCCCUAAGGUCUGACACUCUGAGGCUCAGAACGGUUUCCCACAGUGGCCUAUAUAGUCCACAGAGAUAGGAAAGAAUCAUAUGCUGCAAGCUGAGUGAGUGAGCCAGCUGUUCUUAUUUUCCCCAAGGAAGUGCCAGGCCCCCUGUGUGAUGCAGGCUACUUAUCAGCCUGGUGGCUAGCCAGUUCUGCAACACCAGGAAAAGCCUUGCUCAAGAUCUUACUACAGUUUAGUCUCCCUAAAAUAAGUUUCCUUUUUAUCUAUAUAUGGCAGUUUUGCCUGCAUGUUUGUAUGUGCAUCAGAAGGUGUCAGAUCCCUCGGAACAGAUGGUUGUGAGCCACCAUGUGGGUGUUGGGAGCCAAACUCCAGUCCUUUGGAAGAUCAGUAAGUGUUCUGAGCUGCUGAUCCAUUCCUCCAGACCCUUAAAAUAUAUCUUAACAAGGCUAGUGAGCUGGCUUCUCUCUCUGGCUUGCACUUUGACCUAACUCAGGGUUCAAGUUGGAUCAAAAUUAGACAGAACUGAUUCUUCUUUUCCCUUCUUUUUAUUGUUCUUAAGGACUGAUUUUAUUUAUCUUUGUGGGGGGUGUUGUGCCAAUGCCUCUGGCUUUGCCAUCCAUAUGGUGGGUAAACCGAGGCAGGCAACCUUAGGCGGUCAGUGCUUAGAGCCGAUGACUAGGUGGAUCUAGAUAAAACUCUAGGGGCUGCUGCCAAAAGUGCCAGUGAUUAGAGGAUUAGAGAAGCUACUCAACAGAAUUUUUUUCUGAGGAAACAAAGCUUAAUUUCCUGGGGCUGGCAGUCUCUGUGGCCAGUGGAAAAACUAUGAACUCUUUUAACUCCUUGGAAAUGGCAAGAAAAAGAAGGAAAAAGAGAGAAUUCAUACACACACACACACACACACACAGAGUUGAUGGAUGGGAGGAACAAUUUUCCAGCUACAUCAAACUUUAUUCCUUCUUUCACAGCUUAUAUAUUCCAGCAAAAUCUUUCAAUCAGUAUACAAUUAUAAUGUGAUUAUGUUUUAGUUUUCUUCUGAUAAAUGAUUAUGAAAAAACAAUGUAUUUUCCAAUACCUAUACAAGAAAUAACAUAAUGUAGUACAGGUAAAGAAAACAAAUUAUUCUCAGAAACCCACAUACAUUCAGAUUAACAAAGUGUAAGCAAGCAAGGUAGUUUUCUCAGCUAGCUUCUCUUACUGGCAGGC
Molecule: long non-coding RNA, 3593 nt
Organism: Mus caroli (Ryukyu mouse)
Lineage: Eukaryota; Metazoa; Chordata; Mammalia; Rodentia; Muridae
Source: RefSeq, a predicted model, not a curated record